This 606-nucleotide long non-coding RNA is filed under the name Coffea arabica (coffee). RNAcentral describes it as "long non-coding RNA (CARA_LNC006539)". The record is from RNAcentral. Lineage: Eukaryota; Viridiplantae; Streptophyta; Magnoliopsida; Gentianales; Rubiaceae.
GUCUUUUAAAUCAUGGAAACUUCCAGUAUUACUAUUAGAUGCAGGUGGUUUUUCAUUUUCCUCAAGGAUGUCAUCCAAUUUCAGAAUAACUGCUGGGAUCCUUUUCCUUAAUAGAUCAAAUUCCUUAUCCUUCUUGUGUGGCAAACAGGAACCCCUUUCUUUAAGGUAUUCCCUUUUUAGACUAUAAUAAUCCUCAGUCAGCUGAUGCACAGUUGAUUCAUGGUCUCUCCUCAACUUUGUUAUGAUGUUAUUGAAAUGAGCCACCAGUUCUUCCUUGUUCAGGUGUUUCAGUUGAACUGCUUCAUAGUUCUCGGGCACAUCUGUUGUAGAACCCUCUAACUUAAGGUAUUCCCUUUUUAGACUAUAAUAAUCCUCAGUCAGCUGAUGCACAGUUGAUUCAUGGUCUCUCCUCAACUUUGUUAUGAUGUUAUUGAAAUGAGCCACCAGUUCUUCCUUGUUCAGGUGUUUCAGUUGAACUGCUUCAUAGUUCUCGGGCACAUCUGUUGUAGAACCCUCUAACUUUCCAUUUCCAUCCCAAAGAGAUGAUGAGGAAUUAAUGUGGUUGCUCAAGGCCCUGCGGUGGAAAUGAUCUGCAUCAUGAGAUCC